AGAUUGAACGCUGGCGGCAUGCCUUACACAUGCAAGUCGAACGGCAGCACGGGAGCAAUCCUGGUGGCGAGUGGCGAACGGGUGAGUAAUACAUCGGAACGUGCCCAAUCGUGGGGGAUAACGCAGCGAAAGCUGUGCUAAUACCGCAUAAGAUCUACGGAUGAAAGCAGGGGAUCGCAAGACCUUGCGCGAAUGGAGCGGCCGAUGGCAGAUUAGGUAGUUGGUGGAAGGUAAGGCUCACCAGCCUUGAUCUGUAGCGUGGUCUGAGAGGACCGACAGCCA
RNAcentral lists this ribosomal RNA (282 nucleotides) under uncultured soil bacterium. RNAcentral describes it as "partial 16S ribosomal RNA". It matches the Rfam family "Bacterial small subunit ribosomal RNA", at positions 26 to 310 of the family's 1533-position model. The record is from RNAcentral.